This 253-nucleotide ribosomal RNA is filed under the name uncultured bacterium. Its description in RNAcentral is "partial 16S ribosomal RNA". It matches the Rfam family "Bacterial small subunit ribosomal RNA", at positions 524 to 776 of the family's 1533-position model. The record is from RNAcentral.
UACGGAAGGGGCAAGCGUUGUUCGGAAUCAUUGGGCGUAAAGGGCGCGUAGGUGGUUUUGUAUGUCUACCGUGAAAGCGUACGGCUCAACCGUAUUUUGUCGGUAGAAACUGCAGGACUUGAGGCUGGGAGGGGCUGGUGGAAUUCCCUGUGUAGCGGUGAAAUGCGUAGAGAUGGGGGAGAACACUCGUGGCGAAGGCGGCCAGCUAGACCAGUUCUGACACUGAGGCGCGACAGCGUGGGGAGCAAACAGG